RNA transcript from Panicum virgatum (switchgrass), 3045 nucleotides. It is a transcript of the gene named serine/threonine-protein kinase AFC1-like, with no coding region annotated. The record is from RefSeq and is a predicted model, not a curated record. The transcript is spliced from 13 exons. NCBI's taxonomy places the organism in Eukaryota, Viridiplantae, Streptophyta, Magnoliopsida, Poales, Poaceae.
AAACCAGGGAGCGCAACCAGACCACCACCACCUCGAGCUUCCCCUCCCCCCUCGUCUGCUACAACCGCUUCGUUUCCUCCUCCACUUUCCCCCCAAAUUGAGCUCCGAUUCGGCUUCUCCAUCCCGAAUCGCGCACUAGUUCCACCCGAAAAUCGCCGCCGGACUGGACCCGCGGAUGGAGUGACCAGUUAGGGUUCCGAAGCCGGCAAUGGAGGCGCAGUGGCUCGCCGAGUACCCGCACCAGGGCGCCGACAAGCGGCCGCAUAAGCGGCCCCGGCUCGCUUGGGAUGUCACGCCCACGGUAUUCCAGCCCCCCAAGGCAAUUCCGAUGCUAUAUUGUGGGCAGGAACUAAUCAAUGGUAAUUUUGCGACUGCUUUUGUGCCGCCGCCACCAAUUUAUUACACCGGACUUCCACGGAAUCUUUCACCUCUUUGGAGGCCAGAUGACAAGGAUGGGCACUAUGUUUUCGCAGUUGGGGAGAAUCUCACACCAAGAUAUAGGAUACUUAGCAAGAUGGGUGAAGGGACAUUUGGACAAGUUUUGGAGUGCUGGGACUUGGAAAGCCAAGAAGCAGUGGCUAUCAAGAUUGUGCGCUCCCUCCAGAAAUACCGAGAGGCUGCUAUGAUAGAAAUUGACGUGCUUCAGAGACUUGGAAAGCAUGAUUUUACUGGCAGCCGUUGUGUGCAAAUACGGAAUUGGUUUGACUAUCGUAAUCAUAUAUGUAUAGUAUUUGAAAAGCUUGGGCCAAGCUUAUAUGACUUUCUGCGAAAGAAUAGCUACCGUUCAUUUCCGAUUGACCUUGUUCGUGAAUUUGCCAGACAAAUAUUAGAGUCUGUUGCAUUUAUGCAUGACUUGCGACUUAUUCACACGGACCUGAAACCAGAGAACAUUCUUCUUGUUUCAGCGGAGUCUAUUAGGGUGCCUGAUUAUAAGGUUUUUAUACGACCACCCAAGGAUGGUUCUUUCUUCAAGAAUCUUCCAAAAUCUAGUGCAAUCAAGCUGAUUGAUUUUGGGAGUACGGCAUUUGAGCACCAAGACCACAAUUAUGUGGUGUCGACAAGACAUUACCGUGCACCCGAAGUUAUCCUUGGUCUUGGGUGGAACUAUCCAUGCGACUUGUGGAGCGUGGGUUGUAUUUUAGUUGAGCUCUGUUCGGGCGAAGCUCUCUUUCAAACUCAUGAAAAUUUGGAGCAUUUGGCUAUGAUGGAGAGGGUCUUAGGACCCUUGCCAAAGCAUAUGAUUGUCAGAGCUGAUCGACGUGCUGAAAAGUACUUCAAGCGCGGAGUAAGGUUGGACUGGCCAGAGGGGGCGGCCUCACGAGAGAGCAUGAAGGCAGUCUGGAAAUUGCCUCGUCUGCAGAAUCUUGUGAUGCAACAUGUUGAUCAUUCUGCUGGAGAUCUAAUAGAUCUUCUUCAAGGACUUCUUCGGUAUGAUCCUAAUGAGCGCCUUAAAGCCCGUGAAGCUCUACGACACCCUUUCUUUACCAGAUGCAUCAGAAGAUGUGGUUUCUGAGGCUAUACUGAGAUUGAAAAUCCCAAUGCUGCAUUUCUUCAUUUUGAUGUGUAAGAACUACAAAAAAAAGUGGAGAUGUUCAACGAAAAAUAUGCUAACUUGCAUUCUGUUCAAUGAUGUGAAAGGUAGCAUGCAGAAAUCUCUAACUAGGUGGAGUCAAUUGAGGAUAAAUGGGAUUCCAGUGGCUUGCAUGGAAGACUGGUACACUGUAUUUAAUGGUGGUAUUCGGUGAGCAUACUUGUCAACAGGUAAUCAUUUUUGCGUGCAUUUAGAUGUUGAGUAUUUCUUGACUCUUGUGCAAGGUGGCAAGCCAUGGAUAUUUUGGUUUGUUUGUGUUUCUUUUUUGUCUUCAAAUACGCAAAUUAGUCCAGACACAAAACAAGUGCACCCAACUUGUUUGGACUCUGCUUGAGAUUGGCUGUUGUAUCAUGGUCAGGCUUGGUUUGCACUGAGCUUGAGUGUGACGCUUGAAAAAAGCUGUCAAAUUGUCGGCAUAAGACUAGAUCUCGAUGCUGGAGGUCAAUCUAGAUAACUUUUAGGCUCUAACCUGGUUCGAGAAUACUUAUUAGCAGCUGAUACUUUCAACUUUCCCGGAGCAGUUUGGGAUGUGGGGGUAUUUGUAUUUCUUUACGCCGUAUCCUGUGUGAUUUCAGUCAGUUCAUUUACAUGUUAUUGAGAGUCCACGAACAGCUUGAGCAUGAAAUCAACUGUUUACAUGUGAUAUUGGUCAUAUGACAUAUUUAUGCUUUUUUUUUCUUUCCAAAAUCUCAUUUUAACAUAAUAUUAUAUACUGAUUGCUUCUAACAAACAGUUCAGUUCCUUUUAUGGAUAGCAUCUUACACUCCCACCAAGGUUUUCUAUGAACUUUGGUAGUAUUAAAUGUAUUGAAAUGAAACUUUGAUAUUCCCUGGGUAUUUAUUUAGACUUUUUAUUUUAUUUUAUUGUACUGGAGCAAUAUUACGGCAAUUUCCAUUGUUCUCUUGCUAACACUUGAUGAAUUGAAAAGCUUUCAUGUAGCUUGGCAUUUAAAGUUUUUUUUUAAAAAAAACCUUCACAUUGUUCAGCAAGAGUAUGUUUUGCGUUGAAUAGGCCGGCACAAACACCGGGUAUAUAUAACCACGGCCAUAGGAAAUCAGGAAUCGUGCUAUUUAGUAGGAAUAUUUUAUAAUUGGCAAUUUUCUUGUCUUUCCCCCCAGUGGCGUGUGACUCUACGCUGAUGAAACUGUUACGUGUUAACAUCAGAGACAGGCGUCUCUUCUGUACUGCAAUGAUGACUCAGGCAGUCAGGCUGACUUCUGGGGGUUAAAGCUUAGACCAUUAGACCACGUGAUUUCAGGUAAUCAUUUGCCCUGAGCUUGGUUCGUCGCCCCGAGCUUGGUUCGAGAGCACAGCUACAGCAUUGCCAAGUUUGCACCAGGACUGCCGGGUGUGGAUGCGUAUCUUCGCAGGACAGGUGCCUGUGGAUGUGCUACUAUGUAUGUUCUGCUUGUGUGACGUGUGGUAUCUGGUUUAAUCACGUUAUGAUUACACAA